UCUUAUUACACUAGAGACAGCUGCAGACUGAGCGAACGGCCCAAGUAAGUGCUCUCUUCGGGCGAAAACCUCACUUUCAAAACCCUCCUUGCCACUGUUCCAGACGGUUCCUAGUCGAAAAGAAGAAUAGUAGUUAAAAAGGCGAUGGUUGUCUGCAAUGUCCAGAGUGGAAACGAUGGAGAUCAAUGAAAGCAAUUCACGUUCCCAUGAGAAUGGGCAUUUGAGAGGUUCAAAUAACUCCAGCAAAGAGAAUUCUUCCGAGAAAGAUGUGUUUGUUAACCAUGCUGAGGUAGCUUGGCAUGAGAGACGAAAACAGUGGGUGGGUGAUCCAUCUCAAAAGUUACAGAGAAUGUUUCGAGAACCAAUUAUGAGCUUGACCACAACAUAUGAGGAUCUGCUUUGCUCUACAGAACCUUUUCAACAGCCAAUACCAUUAGCUGAGAUGGUGGACUUUUUAGUUGACAUAUGGCAUGAAGAAGGCCUUUAUGACUAAAUUAUUGGGAAAUUAGUAAUGUUGGCUGCGCAGUUUUGUUUGUGCUGAUUAAUACAAACCGA
RNAcentral lists this unclassified non-coding RNA (555 nucleotides) under Hevea brasiliensis (rubber tree). Lineage: Eukaryota; Viridiplantae; Streptophyta; Magnoliopsida; Malpighiales; Euphorbiaceae. The record is from RNAcentral.